RNAcentral lists this ribosomal RNA (425 nucleotides) under Klebsiella pneumoniae. RNAcentral describes it as "bacterial SSU rRNA". It matches the Rfam family "Bacterial small subunit ribosomal RNA", at positions 870 to 1296 of the family's 1533-position model. Lineage: Bacteria; Pseudomonadati; Pseudomonadota; Gammaproteobacteria; Enterobacterales; Enterobacteriaceae. The record is from RNAcentral.
CGCCUGGGGAGUACGGCCGCAAGGUUAAAACUCAAAUGAAUUGACGGGGGCCCGCACAAGCGGUGGAGCAUGUGGUUUAAUUCGAUGCAACGCGAAGAACCUUACCUGGUCUUGACAUCCACAGAACUUUCCAGAGAUGGAUUGGUGCCUUCGGGAACUGUGAGACAGGUGCUGCAUGGCUGUCGUCAGCUCGUGUUGUGAAAUGUUGGGUUAAGUCCCGCAACGAGCGCAACCCUUAUCCUUUGUUGCCAGCGGUCCGGCCGGGAACUCAAAGGAGACUGCCAGUGAUAAACUGGAGGAAGGUGGGGAUGACGUCAAGUCAUCAUGCCCUUACGACCAGGGCUACACACGUGCUACAAUGGCAUAUACAAAGAGAAGCGACCUCGCGAGAGCAAGCGGACCUCAUAAAGUAUGUCGUAGUCCGG